AANUCCAGCCNAUGCCGCGUGCAAGGAUGANGGUCCUAUGGAUUGUAAACUGCUUUUAUACAGGAAGAAACCCUGGUUCGUGAACCAGCUUGACGGUACUGUAAGAAUAAGGAUCGGCUAACUCCGUGCCAGCAGCCGCGGUAAUACGGAGGAUCCAAGCGUUAUCCGGAAUCAUUGGGUUUAAAGGGUCCGUAGGCGGUUUAGUAAGUCAGUGGUGAAAGCCCAUCGCUCAACGGUGGAACGGCCAUUGAUACUGCUAAACUUGAAUUAUUAGGAAGUAACUAGAAUAUGUAGUGUAGCGGUGAAAUGCUUAGAGAUUACAUGGAAUACCAAUUGCGAAGGCAGGUUACUACUAAUUGAUUGACGCUGAUGGACGAAAGCGUGGGUAGCGAACAGGAUUAGAUACCCUGGUAGUCCACGCCGUAAACGAUGGAUACUAGCUGUUGGAAGCAAUUUCAGUGGCUAAGCGAAAGUGAUAAGUAUCCCACCUGGGGAGUACGUUCGCAAGAAUGAAACUCAAAGGAAUUGACGG
RNAcentral lists this ribosomal RNA (532 nucleotides) under uncultured Flavobacterium sp. RNAcentral describes it as "bacterial SSU rRNA". It matches the Rfam family "Bacterial small subunit ribosomal RNA", at positions 379 to 916 of the family's 1533-position model. The record is from RNAcentral. Lineage: Bacteria; Pseudomonadati; Bacteroidota; Flavobacteriia; Flavobacteriales; Flavobacteriaceae.